GGUGCUGGAAUAUUAUGCAGGAUGUUCCACCACUGCAUCUAACUGAAAUUGUGACAUAUCUGGUUCGGCAAUCUGGGCCAUUUUUAGAUCAACUUGGCAUACAGAGAGACCUUUGUGACAAACUAGUGGAGAUGUUAUGCAGUAAACGAAAUGGUCGGCUCAUGUAUCAUUCUCUUUCACAGGACAGACCCUUAGCUGAGAACAUAUCUGACGAGCUUGAUCUAAGAAUAGCUAGGGUAUUAGAAAGUACUGGUUAUCACACAGAUGAAGGUUUUUGGAAUGACCCUGCAAAG
Long non-coding RNA from Zea mays, 293 nucleotides. RefSeq lists it as uncharacterized. The record is from RefSeq and is a predicted model, not a curated record. The transcript has 2 exons. NCBI's taxonomy places the organism in Eukaryota, Viridiplantae, Streptophyta, Magnoliopsida, Poales, Poaceae.